Long non-coding RNA from Cyprinodon tularosa, 448 nucleotides. RefSeq lists it as uncharacterized. Lineage: Eukaryota; Metazoa; Chordata; Actinopteri; Cyprinodontiformes; Cyprinodontidae. The record is from RefSeq and is a predicted model, not a curated record. The transcript is spliced from 3 exons.
AGGGUGAAAGAAGAAGAACUAAAGCGGCUGUGGAGCCACCUAGUGCAACAAGCAUAACAUUAGUUAACAAACAACAUUCUUUGGGAAAAGGCUGCGCGCUCUCGAGAUGGAUUUUAUUCUCAUUUGGACCGACUGACGCAUAUCGGUGUGAGAGUGGACCGAGAUGAUGACAGGUCCCAAGCUGGAACCAUUACCGAGGAGUGUCAGGCACAACACAGCCCACCAUCAUCAGUUCCUUCUGAGGAAGGCUCUGAGGCUUCUGAGCAGGACGACGACCCAGACCCAGAGCAACCAGAGCCUGAAGAUGUGCUUCCCUGAUUGUAGUAGGGAAAACAGUUUGUAUGCUGGGUGAGUGGGAUCUUUGAUCUGUGUUUCUGUUAUCAGAGAGUUGAAGAAUGCACCAUAUUCAUUUUGUGCAUAAAUAAACUACAAAUUGUACUCAAAAUUG